This 467-nucleotide ribosomal RNA is filed under the name uncultured bacterium. Its description in RNAcentral is "bacterial SSU rRNA". It matches the Rfam family "Bacterial small subunit ribosomal RNA", at positions 30 to 490 of the family's 1533-position model. The record is from RNAcentral.
AUUGAACGCUGGCGGCAGGCCUAACACAUGCAAGUCGAGCGGUAGAGAGGUGCUUGCAUCUCUUGAGAGCGGCGGACGGGUGAGUAAUGCCUAGGAAUCUGCCUAGUGGUGGGGGAUAACGUUCGGAAACGGACGCUAAUACCGCAUACGUCCUACGGGAGAAAGCGGGGGAUCUUCGGACCUCGCGCCAUUAGAUGAGCCUAGGUCGGAUUAGCUAGUUGGUGAGGUAAUGGCUCACCAAGGCGACGAUCCGUAACUGGUCUGAGAGGAUGAUCAGUCACACUGGAACUGAGACACGGUCCAGACUCCUACGGGAGGCAGCAGUGGGGAAUAUUGGACAAUGGGCGAAAGCCUGAUCCAGCCAUGCCGCGUGUGUGAAGAAGGUCUUCGGAUUGUAAAGCACUUUAAGUUGGGAGGAAGGGUAGUAACCUAAUACAGUUUGCUAAUGACGGUACCGUAAGAAUAAG